GGGAAUGUCGUCUAAUGGCAAGACAGUAUCCUUUUACGUUACAUAUACAGGUUCAAUUCCUGUCAUUCCUA
Molecule: transfer RNA, 71 nt
Filed under: Acetobacter pasteurianus
Lineage: Bacteria; Pseudomonadati; Pseudomonadota; Alphaproteobacteria; Acetobacterales; Acetobacteraceae
Also listed under: 2 other names
Description: tRNA-Lys
Rfam family: tRNA
About the family: Transfer RNA (tRNA) molecules are approximately 80 nucleotides in length. Their secondary structure includes four short double-helical elements and three loops (D, anti-codon, and T loops). Further hydrogen bonds mediate the characteristic L-shaped molecular structure. tRNAs have two regions of fundamental functional importance: the anti-codon, which is responsible for specific mRNA codon recognition, and the 3' end, to which the tRNAs corresponding amino acid is attached (by aminoacyl-tRNA synthetases). tRNAs cope with the degeneracy of the genetic code in two manners: having more than one tRNA (with a specific anti-codon) for a particular amino acid; and 'wobble' base-pairing, i.e. permitting non-standard base-pairing at the 3rd anti-codon position.
Source: RNAcentral